Molecule: ribosomal RNA, 422 nt
Filed under: uncultured bacterium
Lineage: Bacteria
Description: partial 16S ribosomal RNA
Rfam family: Bacterial small subunit ribosomal RNA
Source: RNAcentral
AAUAUUGGACAAUGGGCGUAAGCCUGAUCCAGCCAUGCCGCGUGUGUGAAGAAGGUCUUCGGAUUGUAAAGCACUUUACGUUGGGAGGACGGGCAGUAAAGUAAUACCUUGCUGUUUUGAUGUUACAGUCAGAAUAAGACACGGAUAACUUCGUGCCAGCAGCCGCGGUAAGACGAAGGGUACAAGCGUUAAUCGGAAUUACUGGGCGUAAAGCGCGCGUAGGUGGUUUGUUAAGUUGGAAGUGAAAGCCCCGGGCUCAACCUGAGAACUGCUUUCAAAACUGGCAAGCUAUAGUAUGGCAGAGGGUAGUGGAAUUUCCUGUGCAGCGGUGAAAUGCGAAGAGAUAGGAAGGAACACCAGUGGCGAAGGCGACCACCUUGGCUAAUACUGAAACUGAGGUGCGAAAACGUGGGGAGCAAACA